GAUGAACGCUGGCGGUGUGCCUAAUACAUGCAAGUCGUACGCAUUCCCGUUUUUGAUUGAAGGUGCUUACACCUGAUUGAUAAAACAUCGGAAUGAGUGGCGGACGGGUGAGUAACACGUGGGUAACCUGGCCCAGAAGUGGGGGAUAACAUUUGGAAACAGAUGCUAAUACCGCAUAAGUAGAUAGAACCACAUGGUUCUAUUUUGAAAGAUGGCCUUUGUGCUAUC
Molecule: ribosomal RNA, 228 nt
Filed under: uncultured bacterium
Lineage: Bacteria
Description: partial 16S ribosomal RNA
Rfam family: Bacterial small subunit ribosomal RNA
Source: RNAcentral